GUGGUCAUAGCUCAAUUGGUAGAGCACUUGCCUGUGGAGCGAGCGGUUGAGGGUUCAACUCCCUCUGACCACCCCA
RNAcentral lists this transfer RNA (76 nucleotides) under Patescibacteria group bacterium. RNAcentral's name for it is "tRNA-His". It matches the Rfam family "tRNA". Rfam says of the family: Transfer RNA (tRNA) molecules are approximately 80 nucleotides in length. The record is from RNAcentral.